UUGGGUUGGUUUUGCCAAAUUCUGGCCUUGGAGCUUUCUGGGUUGGAUGGUGGCCAGUGAGAUCCUGUGAGAGGGGAGUGGGGCUCCCGGGGAGACCCCAUGACAAGUCCUAGCCCUUCUCCUACAUGUUUCUGAGGGUGACCAUUGCAGUUACUGAGCAGCCGGUGCACUCCAGCUCUGUGUUCUGUACCACAAACGGAAGAGGCAGAGGGCGUUUUUUGGGCCGCAAGUCCCCAACUGGGAGAAAUGAAGGCUGAGACAGCGGACCAUCAAGAGCCAUGGAAGGUGUCAGAGGACCGACCAGAGCCUGCAGGGAGAGGAGAGAAGCGCUGGACCUCAAAUACUACUCAGACUGCAGUUGUCCUACAUGGCCACCAGGGGACGCACCAGGCAACAAACAACCACCCAGGCCCCUGUCCUGGCUCCAGGCAGGAACUUGCUGUUUCUGCCAGCAUCUGCCUCUACCACCCCGGGACUGCACAAAAACCCUCUGAACUGUAACCGAACAUUACCCUAAGCGGCCUUCCCAGGGCAGACUCCUCCCACACAUCUUCUGUUUUAGCUCCUUUAUGAAGUAUGGAGAUAAUAGUA
This is a long non-coding RNA of Bubalus bubalis (water buffalo), 591 nucleotides long. RefSeq lists it as uncharacterized. The transcript has 2 exons. Lineage: Eukaryota; Metazoa; Chordata; Mammalia; Artiodactyla; Bovidae. The record is from RefSeq and is a predicted model, not a curated record.